This is a non-coding RNA of Labrus bergylta (ballan wrasse), 2149 nucleotides long. The record is from the annotation of a RefSeq genome assembly. Lineage: Eukaryota; Metazoa; Chordata; Actinopteri; Labriformes; Labridae.
AUGGCCGAACCUGCCCUCACCUUCAUCCUUCUCUUCCUCAUUACUCUGCUUUUCACCAUUGCAACUACUGCUUUCAAGAUUAUCUUCUGUACUACAGAACCGCUGGUUGUAUCUCCAAACAUCACAUUACAACCUGUCUGGGAAGGUGAAUUCAAAGCCUCAGGGGUCAGACUCAUCUGCACCUUGAGUGGAUUCUUUCCAGGUGAACUGAGUGUGGAGUGGAAGCUGGACAACGACCCUCUAGUGAUUAAUCCAAUCGAAAGGAAGCUGCAGACCGUGGAGGGAGUGAAUAAAACAUUUAGUUUUAGCAGUGAGAUUGAGCCAAACAGCAAGAAGUGGGCAAAAGGCUCAAGCUAUACAUGCAAGGCGAUUCACAACAACAUUGAAUUUACAAAGACAAUUAGUGUAUGUCAAAUCGUUCCAAGCACCACUCCUUCCAUGCAUUUACAAACCCCGAGCUUCAAGACGGUAAUGACGGCAAAGUCAGACAUUAAGGCAACAUGUUCAGUCUGCACUAUUUUUGAUGCCACUGUGACAUGGAGGCUGGAUGAGGACUCUCCCUCCAAAGAACACAUCAACCAGGUCACUAAUGCAAGUCAUAUAAUAAGCACUCUGACAGUUUCAUCAAGCAGCUGGCAAAGACUGAAGGAUCUAAAAUGUAAGGCUGAACAUCACUGCUUCUCCUCUACUGAAGUUACAUUUGUUCCAGGACCUGCAGUAAGACCUCCAUUGAUUCAGAUCAGAAGAUCUCUCCCACAUUUGCUGAAGGGAGACAGUGCUGUGCUGGAGUGUGACAUCACACAGUUUGACUCCAGGGAUCUAUCUGUCACCUUACAUAAUAAUAAGAAUGCUAUUAUUGGCACACAGUUUGUUGAUCUUCCUCAAACCCCAGGACCACAUUCAAUCAGUAGAUUCUUCUCUGUGCCUCAAAAUCACUGGAAGAAAAACACAAGUUUCUACUGCAGCGUAAGCCAAGGUUUCUCUGGCAGUUCUACAUCAAACUCUACUGGCAUUAUCUUUGUGGAUCCAUCAGUGGAGCUCCUUCUGGUCCCAGGUGAAGAGUCUGGACAACAGAGACUGUCGUGCUCUGGAUGGGGCUUUGACCCUCAAAUCAAAUGGUCUUCUGAGUCCCAGCAAAAAUCUCCUUCGACCUAUGACAUCAGCAUGGGUGCAGGUGGACGUGUGGCAGUAACCAGUCAACUUCUUGUCCCUCAAAAAGAGUGGAAAACGGGGAAAAGCUUCACCUGUGAAGUCUCUGACAGGUCUCUGAACAAACAAUACAGAAAGGAAAUCAGCGUCUGUACAGCAUGUUCCACCAUCCCUCCUUCCAUUCACCUGGAGACUCCCAGCUUCAAGACAGUAAUGAUGGCAGAAUCUGAGGUUACAGCUACAUGUUUGGUCCGCACAGCGUUUGAUGCAACAGUGACAUGGCUGAUGAACCAAACAGUAACUUCAAGAGGCUCAGUGAAGAAGACUGCAAACGGAACUCAUACAAUCAGUGAUUUGACUCUUUCAUUAAGUCAAUGGAAAGAACUCGGAUCCAUAACAUGUAAAGCAGAGCACAAGUGCUUCUCCUCCGUUGAGAGGACUGUGACUGUUGCAGUGCCUGCAAACACAGUUACAACAAUUCAGGUCAGAAGAUCUCUCCCACAUUUGCUGAAGGGAGACAGUGCUGUGCUGGAGUGUGACAUCACACAGUCCGACUCCAGGGAUCUAUCUGUCACCUUACAUAAUAAUAAGAAUGCUAUUAUUGGCACACAGUUUGUUGAUCUUCCUCAAACCCCAGGACCACAUUCAAUCAGUCGAUUCUUUUCUGUGCCUCAAAAUCACUGGAAGAAAAACACAAGUUUCUACUGCAGCGUAAGCCAAGGUUUCUCUGGCAGUUCUACAUCAAACUCUACUGGCAUUAUCUUUGUGGAUCCAUCAGUGGAGCUCCUUCUGGUCCCAGGUGAAGAGUCUGGACAACAGAGACUGUCAUGCUCUGGAUGGGGCUUUGACCCUCAAAUCAAAUGGUCUUCUGAGUCCCAGCAAAAAUCUCCUUCGACCUAUGACAUCAGCAUGGGGGCAGGUGGACGUGUGGCAGUAACCAGUCAACUUCUUGUCCCUCAAAAAGAGUGGAAAACGGGGAAAAGCUUCACCUGUGAAGUCU